Molecule: ribosomal RNA, 392 nt
Filed under: uncultured Gammaproteobacteria bacterium
Lineage: Bacteria; Pseudomonadati; Pseudomonadota; Gammaproteobacteria
Description: bacterial SSU rRNA
Rfam family: Bacterial small subunit ribosomal RNA
Source: RNAcentral
AAUGGGGGAAACCCUGAUCCAGCCAUGCCGCGUGAGUGAUGAAGGCCUUAGGGUCGUAAAGCUCUUUCGCCUGGGAUGAUAAUGACAGUACCAGGUAAAGAAACCCCGGCUAACUCCGUGCCAGCAGCCGCGGUAAUACGGAGGGGGUUAGCGUUGUUCGGAAUUACUGGGCGUAAAGCGCACGUAGGCGGACUGUUAAGUUAGAGGUGAAAUCCCGGGGCUCAACCCCGGAACUGCCUUUAAUACUGGCAGUCUAGAGUUCGAGAGAGGUGAGUGGAAUUCCGAGUGUAGAGGUGAAAUUCGUAGAUAUUCGGAGGAACACCAGUGGCGAAGGCGGCUCACUGGCUCGAUACUGACGCUGAGGUGCGAAAGUGUGGGGAGCAAACAGGAUU